UGACUCCCCACCACAGUGACACAAACCAACCAGCCGCCUCGAGAGGUUGCUGAAGAGGUAUGCAGCGAUGGUCUGGAGGAAAAAAUAGUCACAUGGACUGGUGUGCAUUCCAGUACUUGAAAUGAUGCUGUUGCUCAGGCACAUCCAGGUGCGAGGAUGGGGGAGAUCCGGAUGUCGCUAAAUAAAAGAAUCUGUGAACUGCUUCACCAAGAGAAAAAGAAGUCCAUGGACAGGCCUAUGAGCCCUCUUGUUGACCUUGAGUGACUGAGGCUGCGGGCGGUCUGCCCCUGAAUUCACCUUCACUUUUUUUUUUUUUUUUUUUUUAAUAUAUCUGAAGGUGUGUGUGUGUGUGUGCGCGCGCGGGUGUGUGUGUGUGGGCGCGGGCACGCGUAUGUGUUUGUGUGUGUGCGCGUGUGUGUGCACGCGUGCAUGUGUGCCAGUGCUUUAUGUGAGGUGUUUCGCUUACCGGCCACAGCCACAGUUUUUUGUUUUGUUUUGUUUUUGUUUUAUUUGU
Engraulis encrasicolus (European anchovy) is the source of this 514-nucleotide long non-coding RNA. RefSeq lists it as uncharacterized. The record is from RefSeq and is a predicted model, not a curated record. The transcript is spliced from 3 exons. Lineage: Eukaryota; Metazoa; Chordata; Actinopteri; Clupeiformes; Engraulidae.